GAAGGGUGCAAGCGUUACUCGGAAUUACUGGGCGUAAAGCGUGCGUAGGUGGUGAGUUAAGUCUGUCGUGAAAGCCCCGGGCUCAACCUGGGAAUGGCGAUGGAUACUGGCUCGCUAGAGUGCGGUAGAGGAGAGUGGAAUUCCCGGUGUAGCAGUGAAAUGCGUAGAGAUCGGGAGGAACAUCAGUUGCGAAGGCGGCUCUCUGGACCAGCACUGACACUGAGGCACGAAAGCGUGGGGAGCAAACAGGAUUAGAUACCCUGGUAGUCCACGCCCUAAACGAUGCGAACUGGACGUUGGGAGCAACUAGGCUCUCAGUGUCGAAGCUAACGCGUUAAGUUCGCCGCCUGGGGAGUACGGUCGCAAGACUG
RNAcentral lists this ribosomal RNA (371 nucleotides) under uncultured bacterium. Its description in RNAcentral is "bacterial SSU rRNA". It matches the Rfam family "Bacterial small subunit ribosomal RNA", at positions 527 to 896 of the family's 1533-position model. The record is from RNAcentral.